This 6789-nucleotide ribosomal RNA is filed under the name Triticum aestivum (bread wheat). Its description in RNAcentral is "partial small subunit ribosomal RNA". The record is from RNAcentral. Lineage: Eukaryota; Viridiplantae; Streptophyta; Magnoliopsida; Poales; Poaceae.
CCAUCGGUUGGAUUUUCCAGCACCCUUAUGUGAUAUCGGUAAGAUCAUACUUGGGGCUUUGCUGUCGCUGAGCUUCCUAAAUUUUCUUCAAGUCCAACCCAGUCUGGUCGCCACUUUAUUUACAUGGUCUUGUUCUUGCGAGGGAUUAUUUUUAUCACGAUUGAUGAACUAUAUGACUGGAUCCCAGCCCCCAUUAUUCUUACUGCUGUUUCCUACUUCUGUAAUUAACCUUUACUAAGUACUGUUAGGUCUUUAGCAUAACACUAAAUAGUUAAGCUAAUAAGGAUACCACUAGAUGACUGACCCUGUAAUUAACCUUAUUCAGUUUAUGAACAUAUAUGUACGCUACAGAGCAUGAAAUUGGGAAAAUACAAAUAUAAUUGGUGGUUGGUUCACCAUUUAAAAUUUUGAUCCACCAAUUGUGUCUCAGUGAUUUCUACUUGAGCUAAGACCAUGCCAAUAAUUUUGGAACGAGGGAGUACUUAUUUGUUGUUGUGUAUUUGAUGGUUUGAUAAAAAUAUCAUGAAGGUUAAAUCGAGCGUGGUUUUGAUAUAUUUUUGUUACAAGAUAUUACAUCGGCUUUCUGGUUUGGAAAUACUUAUAAUCGAUUUCUUCUAACUGCAUGUGAGCCCACACUUUUGUAGACUACUUAGGAUAGAGAUGAUAUGAAUGUGUGCAACAAAGUUCUUUACUCGGGAAUGGCUUGGUAGGUCUCUCGACUAUUCGGUUUCAUCUGUAGGAUUAAAAUUUCUUCAACUUGCUCUCCUCCCACCUUCAAUUUCUUUAAAAUCGUUGUAUUGGCAAGUAGAAACAGUAGCUUGUUUGAAUUAUGUAAAGUUCAUCCAUGUAACAGUUGCCUCUUAAAGACUGCUUACAAAGUGCAAAUUUGAUAUAAUUUUGCUGAUGACGCAAAAUGAUCGUACACUGAAACUGAAGCCUUUGGAAAUUGAAACACAAACCUUACUUAAGAGCAGGCAAAGGUGCAGAGCCAACGGCAUGCUCUUGGAUCAAUAUUCUACAGGUGAUGUUGUUGCCUGCUCUUCUAAACUGCCGCUUGUUUAUCAUUUGCUGUUUUGCUUAUCAAGGAGGGUAACUACUGGAAGCAGUUGGCAAGGCAAGCAUUCAAUGGAUCUCAAAGCGUUGAUCCUGAAGGAAGGUAACUACUCAAAGGUAUGCACAUAUUCAUGUUGGAGCAGUUAAGUUUGCAAGGAUCUGCUGUUGGAGGGCAUGGUAUGUGCUCUCAAGACAAACGGAGAGAGUGGUUCGAAUCCACCUCAGAACGGGUCUAGGCCGCUUUCCUUGACUUUGAGUUGGAUCUCAUUCUUCUUCCCUGCCCCCCGGCCUCUCACUUCGUUUCGUUCUUCCUCUGUACCCUCGCUUGAAUGAAGGUGAACCAACCCCUUGGACUGCUGCGAAAAACACCAUCAGAUUUCAAAGUAGCCCGGUCUAAUUCAAAAAUUUCCACUAACGCAAGAGGGAUUCCUGCGACUAACGCUAGAGCAAAGGGAAAGGACAAUGAAGCAGCAAUAAACAGAUUGAAGAGCUAUUAGUAUAGCAAGUAUUAAUUCAACAAUUAGUUAGUUUGGGAAGACUGCUUUGCCUGGAUUGAUGGCGAGCCUGGUUCUUUAUGAUCCGGUGACAUCUUUUGGCCUAUUGAGGAACUGGACAUGAUUUAUAUAGCGAAGUUAAGUGUAUGGAUGACAACUUCCUCUCAUACCUCUUUUGGCCUAUUGAGGAACUGGACAUGAUUUAUAUAGCGAAGUUAAGUGUAUGGAUGACUACUUCCUCUGAUACAUGUUAUCUGUAUAUUUUAUAUACAUGGCUUUUGUGUUCUGUCAUGUGCGUUCCUGCUGCAGACUUUUCUAGGAAAUUCACCAUGGGAAUUUAAAUAAUGGUUCCCUGCCCAUCAGUUUACUUUCUUGCAUUUUAUAGGCCACACUUUUCGUAUUUUGUUAAAGAAGUGAACUCAUUCCUAAACUUCCACCGUAUAUACAUUAACACUGGGAUACUGUUCCAACCCAGCAAUACUCUGAUCCUUCAUCGUUUUCUGAAAAAAAAAACUAUGAGUUCUGUGUCAGUGUAGUACUAUAUCCCACUGAUGAUGCUUCUGUGUAACACGUUUAUCUAUUUGGUUGCAUGCCUUGAAUGAGUAGUAUAUUGAGCACCCCGAGAUAACCAUCGAGAAGUCUGGUGGAAUUUUAAAUGAUUUAUUAAGCGACCUUUUAUGAUAGACCAUUGUAUGAGAGCAUGUUUUAGUACUACUUGAGCGAGUUAGAAUGUACUAGCAAACAUGCCCGUGCGUUGCAACGGAAGAAAACCUAAACUAUGUGCCUAUGGUUUCAGCCUUUUAAUAUCACUUGACGCCAACAGUGGCUAUGAUCAGAAGGAUAGAUGGAAAUGCAUACUUAGUUUUUAUUUGCCAUCGCUUUGUGAUAACUGGAAGGUUAUCCAGGCACAAUGUGCACAUGAAAUGCACUGCUAAUUCAGUUCGAAUCAAAACAUGAUUUUUCAGCAAAAAAUCAUGUUUAUGUAUCAGUGAUAUGUUUAUGUAUAUAUCAUGGCUGAGGAGCCUAACAAACCCGGACGAAGGUAGUAGUUGGCAUCCAGCCAUAAACAUAUAACUGGAUAUAAGUAAUUUUAAUUAUUAUUUUUUGACAUGCCCUGGCUAUAGUAGAUAACAUAAGACCCAGGAUCCAAUAGUUAGCCUUGAACAAAUUAAGAGUCCAAGUUGCCAAAUCAAAAUCUGCUCAUUUGCACACGUGUACAUAGUUUGAAGAUGCCAUAACUCAUACUCCUAUAAAGUAAAUAGUAAGUACUAAGUAGUAGAUUAUAUUGUCCUCAAGGGUCUUGCUUGGGAGGAUUAUUAAGAAAAAUGUCAAAAGGGGAAACGUAACUAACCUUGACCAGUUUGCAGCAUGGCCGGUGAGGCAACCUGGGGGAUUCACAUAUCCACAUUUUACACACUCUAUAGAGCCAAUAGCACCUUGUUCUACCUAGCCACUCAUAACACCUUCAUCGUACAUUGUUCUGACAUGCUGCAUUCCUCGAUUGCAGUCCAUCUGACUGUUGCAUCGGAAAGCACAUGAAUUCAUAACCUGGGGACUGCCGAGAAAGCUUCGCUGGACGCAAUUUUUUUUUUUGCUUUCUUCGGCCGCUGUAACAGGAGGUACCAAUAUAAUCAGGCAACGGAGCCUGAAUACCUCACCCUUGAGCGUGGAGUCGCUCUGAAACUCAGCACAUUGUUUGACUGAUGUGUAUGCAACUUGCACAUAUCCUGCAUAGUGCAUACCAAAUUCGUCAAGCAUCAGUCUGCAAUUUGCAUAUGAACGAUGUGGCGCACGUAUCCAGCUGGGCUCUAAGACCUCCGCCUGUCAGCCACAAACCAAAGACCAUCCAGAAGGCGAUUUCGGCGGUGAUGCAGCGGGAGGAGCACAAGCUCGCCGGAGAGGAGUAGUUGGGACGGGGGAGAGGAACUGCAGCCGCUACAGCCGUCCAUCCAAAGGCACAACAAAUCGGAAGAAGCAGCUACGACGAGCAUGGGGGCGGGGUCGCCGUUGCCGCAUAGACGCCGCGGAGGAGAAGCGGCAACAACUACGGGAGAUGUGGAUGUGGCGCAGAGCCCGGCAGCCGGUUCGACGACGAUGAUGAGUAUGGCUUCCCCCGAGGUUCUUGGAGCCCUUGCCGCUGCUGCCGCCCACCGGCACCUCUCAAGGUUCUUCUAUUCCGCCGCAGCCGCCAUCUGGAGUGCCCCUGCUCCCCUGACCAUCCUGCUCCCUCGUACCCAUACUGUCGCAAGGGGAACGGCAAGGAGGCCGCCCAUACUGUCACAUCCACGUCCGACGCGACCCAACGAUGGGCUGACGUGUUGCAGCGUUCAGGUGAGGCGCUCCUGCAGUGCCGGCUGGGCGUCCGGACCCUUAUUCAAGUCAGGGCGUUCACCAUACGGGGUCCUCGGGGAAGGUUCCUCCCGUGCUGGUCGCCGCACAUACGGCCGGGCUGUGUGCGUGGGUUGGAAACGGCGAGGAGGAUUAGCCGGGUUAGACUUUGGAGUAGCACGUACCGAUAUCGAUUCGUCGUUUGUAGCAACCGAUGUGUUAACUCGACAUAGAUAUCGUGACGGAUACAUGUCUAGCACGUUAGGUUUUGCAGCUGAUUCUAUCUAUCCGUGAGUAAGAGUAGUUAGUAUUUUAUCUUUCUUUUAACUUGGGAAUACUACUGUAGCUGUAGUUUUCCUUUUCUUCUGUGUGUUCGCUUGUUAGAUUUCCUAUAUCAUCACACGUACGUGCAAUGCACAAGCCGAUCUGAACUCAUAAGUAAAAUCUCCUCUCUUUUUCCCAACUUCUUUUUCACGUACCUUUGUACGUGCCAAGUCCACAUAUAAGUUUAGACACGUAACGUAAGAUACUUUAAAUCUCAGCCUUCAAUAUUUAUGGUUAACACACAAUCAAAGGAUAUAAAGGGAUGAUGUAUGGAGAACUGGAACCGGAUCCUCUAACAUCCUCAAGGGAUGUCACGUAAGCUACAGUAACCAUGACAUCCCUCCUUUACAUCCAUAUGGUUAAGCCUAAAAUGAUUAUAAUUAAUUUGCAAAUUACAAAUCUAUUGUAUAUAUUUACAAAUAUUACGUACAAACAAAAUUAUGGUGCAAUAAAAUUAUUUUUUGAUUUAUUUUUGUACAUGCUACAGUAAAUCAUGUACACAUAUUUUUGUACAUGCUACGGUAACCUAACAUCCCUUCUUCGUUUUACACACAUUUCACUGUAGCUUCGUGACAUCCCUUGAGGAUGUUAGAGGAUCCACUUCCUGGAGAACUAUGAAAGCCUCCGUCUUUUAAUAUUAGGUAUAGAUAUAUUUUCAACUAAAACCAAUUUUUUCAAAAGGCAAAAUAAUUUCUGCAUGAUCAAAUAUCGUGAUUAUCUCCAUGAAGAAUGCUUUAGACAGUACAAUAAUGAAAAUAAGCAUUUUUGGCCUUUGAAACAUGUACUAUUGUUGGGACAUCUGAUUGGACCUUUCUAUGUAGAAAAUGAGAAGUGCUAAGUGUACAGAAACCUGCACUUCAUAUUUCUUACAUGCGUGAUUUAUCAUCUACGAUCCUCUUUUAUAUUGCUUACUUGCAUGAUUUGUCUGAUUGCCGGUAGAAAUAUUUAUGUUAGCAUCUCAGUUUGCUAACUUAAUACCUUCCAUCUUAUACAUCAAUAAUGCUUUGAAGACACCGACAAGAAUAACUAAAUUAAAUUGUGCUUGAACAUGUCAAUUGCAAUGACAUGUUCUCACCUUUCAACGAAGGAUCUCAUUUUAAAUCCUAAUUCUGGAUGUCUAGGUGGUUGGCUGUUGAUUUAAUUAGCGUUUUCGUAGUGAAAAUAUGAAGACACAUUUUCUAAACAACUUUAGGAUAUCUUCGAAAGAAUGUGCUAGAUUUUGGUCCUGUUAUAUUUUCUCAAUUCCUAUGUCAUCUCUCACAUGGCUAUGUGGUCUCCCCGGUUUUGUCUUUACAUUAUAUCUAUGUUGUACUACUGCUACCUCCCACGGUACAGAAAGUAUUUUUUAUAUCAGCUUUGCUCUCGUGUGUGCAAGGAUUCCAUUCAGGUACAAAAAACAUCACCCCUCAUGAAGUUACUUCUUUUCAGAGAGAGAAUGAUCAUUGGUUUUUAUAUGGAUUCAGUGCACAUAAAUAAUUAGCUCGCAUUUUAAGUUUGGUUUUAGAAUUAGCUUUCCAGUUCUGUACAUGUUUUCCUCACUGAUGAUGGAUUUCUUCUUCUAAGAUGAAUUAGUAACUUUAGCACCAAAUAUGAAGUUUCCCCUAAAAAAAAGCACCAAAUAUGAAGUUAUUUGGACAAAGGAAAGCUUCCUUCCUCUUUGCUAUUUUCUCUCUUUAGUGUUGCUUUUUUUUAGAACACUCUUUAGUGUUGCUUUGAUGUUCCUUUGUCACUGUUUGAUAUUCUGCCCUGUGUGGCCUCUGUCUUGGUUUACAGCUCCAUAUGGCUACUUAUGUAUACAUAUGUAGGUUUUGUUUGAACUGUACUCAACGUGCAGAUGUUUCCAUAUUCUUGCCUUCAUCUUUUUAACUCGUGAGAUUGUUAGAUAGUUGAAUAUCAUUGGCCUCUGUCGGCAUUCUAUUUUUGCAGUUUGAAAUGAGUAUUGGUCCAUUGAUAUUAAACUUCACAAUAGGUGGUGGCAUCUCCAGGAAAAAGUAGUGGCAGAUAUGCUGGACAUUUCUUUUCUGCUGCAGGAAUGACACUAUUGCCCAAGUCCUCAACACAUUUUUUAGUAACGGAGAGGAUUACUCACCUUUGGUGCUGCAGGCGUUCAAGACCUAGCAUAGCUGGGCCAACCGGCCCUUCAUGUUCAAGACCCGACCCUGAAGAUCCCUGACAGCGCAUGCUACCAGCCGGGCAUCUUCUUCCUGAGUCAUGUCCAGAACCAGACCAGCAGGGGCACCCUGAGCGAGUACUCGAGGCAUGUCGUCAGGUCGGAGGGGUGCAACCAGGCCAGCUACCGUGUGUGUCCAUGGUUCAUACAGUCAAGGUGUUCGCUCAUCUCCCAAGAUGAGCCAGAACGAGCGCGCUACAAGAGGAACCCCCCAUAUUUUUCAUUCCUUGAUAAAUGGUUAUAUUGUUGUAUGUUGGUUAAAGACAGUGUUUUUCUUCUCGAAUUAUGAAACCUCAAACAACAGUAGAUAUAACAUUUUUGUUUGUUUUGCAAUCAAAGCUUACAUCGAAUAAUUUAUUAGAAUUAUGCUCCAUCUUAUUUGGAAAUUAUGGCUAUUUUGUAUAUUUCUACAAGAUACGG